UUUUUUUAAUGCCACAUGUCACGUUUUGAUUGGCCAUUAAAUAAACUUGACCCGAAAUCAUUUCUCACCCAAAUUCCGACCCAACCCGACCUACCCGACCCAAAAAAGGUUAACGGAGGGCAAUUUUGUUCCGGAGUCAAUACGUUGAGGGCAGUUUUGACCCUUAACCGUUCAUUUUUAGCCCUGCAAAAUCUAACAUUUUAUUUUUAAUUUUUUUUAAUGCCACAUGUCACGUUUUGAUUGGCCAUUAAAUAAACUUGACCCGAAAUCAUUUCUCACCCAAAUUCCGACCCAACCCGACCUACCCGACCCAAAAAAGGUUAACGGAGGGCAAUUUUGUUCUGAAGUCAAUACGUUGAGGGCAGUUUUGACCCAUAACCGUUCAUUUUUAGCCCUGCAGAUUUCUGUAAUUCGUCAGUGAUUCCAGAAAGGAAUAAUCAUUAGUCACUAGCUGUAAAAUCAGAUUUUUUGUGGCUUCAACUGGAAAUUAUUUAACUUCCAAAAAUCUAGCAAAAACAGAAAAAAAAUCCAUUUAAUAGGAUUAUGUAUUUCGGCUGAUUUGACCAGAUUCUAUUAUAUUACUUUUUAAUUAAGGGCGAUGAAUGAAAUUCGCGGCCUAAAGUUAAACUUUAAUAAUAAACCUUAAACGUAAGGAUUUUAAUGGCCUCAUCCUAGAGCCGGCCCUACUUAUAAUUAAUGGGUUUUCUCAAUUUUAAUCCAUAUUUAUUUCUUAUAACAAAGUCGCUUUCUAUUAGAUUUUCACAUACUUCAAUUAAUUUACUAUCGAUGAUCAAUA
RNAcentral lists this long non-coding RNA (796 nucleotides) under Nicotiana benthamiana. Its description in RNAcentral is "long non-coding RNA (NBEN_LNC006120)". Lineage: Eukaryota; Viridiplantae; Streptophyta; Magnoliopsida; Solanales; Solanaceae. The record is from RNAcentral.